Molecule: ribosomal RNA, 499 nt
Filed under: uncultured bacterium
Lineage: Bacteria
Description: partial 16S ribosomal RNA
Rfam family: Bacterial small subunit ribosomal RNA
Source: RNAcentral
GACGAACGCUGGCGGCGUGCCUAAUACAUGCAAGUCGAGCGGACCGAACAGGAGCUUGCUCUUGUGCGGUUAGCGGCGGACGGGUGAGUAACACGUGGGUAACCUACCCGUAAGACCGGGAUAACUUCGGGAAACCGGAGCUAAUACCGGAUAACAUCUAAAACCGCAUGGUCUAUUAGUGAAAGGCGGCUUCGCCUGCCACUUACGAUUGAGCCCGCGGCGCCUUGGCUGUUUGGUGAGGUAAAGGCUCACCAAGGCGACGUUGCGUAGCCGGCCGGAGGGGGUGACUGGCCCACCCGGGACCUAGACCAGGGCCAGACUUCUACGGGAGGCAGCCGUAGGGAAUCCUCCGGCAUGGACGAAAGUCUGGAGGGGCGAAGCCGCGGGAGCGAAGAAGGGCUUCGGAUCGUAAAGCUCUGUUGUUAGGGAAGAAGAAGCGUCGUUAGAAACGGGCCGCGCCGUGACGGUACCUAACCAGAAAGCCACGGCUAACUACGUG